This 490-nucleotide ribosomal RNA is filed under the name uncultured bacterium. RNAcentral describes it as "partial 16S ribosomal RNA". It matches the Rfam family "Bacterial small subunit ribosomal RNA", at positions 30 to 507 of the family's 1533-position model. The record is from RNAcentral.
AUUGAACGCUGGCGGCAGGCCUAACACAUGCAAGUCGAACGGUAACAGGAAGAAGCUUGCUUCUUUGCUGACGAGUGGCGGACGGGUGAGUAAUGUCUGGGAAACUGCCUGAUGGAGGGGGAUAACUACUAGAAACGGUAGCUAAUACCGCAUAACGUCGCAAGACCAAAAAGGGGGACCUUCGGGCCUCUUGCCAUCGGAUGUGCCCAGAUGGGAUUAGCUAGUAGGUGGGGUAACGGCUCACCUAGGCGACGAUCCCUAGCUGGUCUGAGAGGAUGACCAGCCACACUGGAACUGAGACACGGUCCAGACUCCUACGGGAGGCAGCAGUGGGGAAUAUUGCACAAAGGGCGCAAGCCUGAUGCAGCCAUGCCGCGUGUAUGAAGAAGGCCUUCGGGUUGUAAAGUACUUUCAGCGGGGAGGAAGGGAGUAAAGUUAAUACCUUUGCUCAUUGACGUUACCCGCAGAAGAAGCACCGGCUAACUCCGUG